UUCUGAUCAAUAAAGAGGGAAAUUUCAUCACUAAAACAAGAAAACGCAUCAAUGGAUUUCUAACAACAGAUACAAUUUUAUUGAAUCAAACAAAAUACAACUUUGUUCAUUUAAAAAACAAAAAAAUUACUAAUAAAAACUGGUGAUCAGCUGAUGUGAGACUUUCUGCAGUAAAUCAAACGAUAAGAGGCAUGCAUUAGGUAACAAAUACAACUGAGGGAUCACAGCAACACUCGUCCAAGAGACAACAGCAACAUAAAGCUGCAAGGCUGCAGAUCAAGCAAGCAACCCAUCAAGAAAAAUAUUAAACAAUCUUUUUUUAAAAGAUUAGAUCUUGCUCAGGACCACUAUGUAUGCAGUAAGGCAUGGAAGAGCUAAAAAUCUUGAAGAAUUACUGCGUACCAUCCCUCAAGAAAUCCUACUUCUCUCUGUGGUUGGGGUGGAGGAGCUGCAUAAUACUGAGGAGGAGGCAUCACUGGAGGAGGCCCUUGAUAAGCACCUGGAGGAGGAUACGGAUAACCAUACUUGGGAUCGUUCAUAUUCUGAGGAAAAUAACAAAACACAGCACCAGAAAGAGUUGAUUGACUAUGGGACUUAAGGGUUUAGGCACCAUAUAUGCAUAUAUAAAGUUAAGA
Molecule: unclassified non-coding RNA, 635 nt
Filed under: Hevea brasiliensis (rubber tree)
Lineage: Eukaryota; Viridiplantae; Streptophyta; Magnoliopsida; Malpighiales; Euphorbiaceae
Source: RNAcentral